GAUGAACGCUAGCGGCAGGCUUAAUACAUAGCAAGUCGAACGGGAAUUGGGUAGCAAUACCUGAUGAUAGUGGCGCACGGGUGCGUAACGCGUAUGCAACCUACCUUUAACAGGGGGAGUAGCCCGGAGAAAUUCGGAUUAAUACCCCAUAGUAUUAUGGAGAGGCAUCUUUUCAUGAUUAAAGUUCCGGCGGUUAAAGAUGGGCAUGCGUGCCAUUAGCUAGUUGGUGAGGUAACGGCUCACCAAGGCGACGAUGGUUAGGGGUCCUGAGAGGGUUAUCCCCCCACACUGGUACUGAGACACGGACCAGACUCCUACGGGAGGCAGCAGUAAGGAAUAUUGGUCAAUGGGCGGAAGCCUGAACCAGCCAUGCCGCGUGCAGGAAGACGGCCUUAUGGGUUGUAAACUGCUUUUGUCAGGGAAUAAACCCUCGUUUGCGAACGAGGCUGAAGGUACCUGAAGAAUAAGCAUCGGCUAACUCCGUG
Molecule: ribosomal RNA, 485 nt
Filed under: uncultured bacterium
Lineage: Bacteria
Description: bacterial SSU rRNA
Rfam family: Bacterial small subunit ribosomal RNA
Source: RNAcentral